Molecule: transfer RNA, 72 nt
Filed under: Bos taurus (domestic cattle)
Lineage: Eukaryota; Metazoa; Chordata; Mammalia; Artiodactyla; Bovidae
Also listed under: 4 other names
Rfam family: tRNA
About the family: Transfer RNA (tRNA) molecules are approximately 80 nucleotides in length. Their secondary structure includes four short double-helical elements and three loops (D, anti-codon, and T loops).
Source: Rfam by way of RNAcentral
UCCCUGGGGGCUCAGACAGUAAAGCAUCUGCCUGCAGUGCAGGAGGCCUGGGUUCGAUCCCUGGGUUGGGAA